AUGAAUUUUUUCUCUAUCCCUUACUUACAUUCCUACAGUAACUUAGAAAAGCUAAGUCAAACCUUUGCUUCUUCUAGGUCCUGUAGAUAUUUUCUAUUAGAUCUGUCAACAUCAAAUUCAUUCCUUAAUUUGGCAACAGAUAUCAUGAAUGUGACUCCUGCCUUCUUUUCCUCAGUUGAUGCUCCAUCCACUUACCUUCACCAUGAAGAGCCUAAAUUUCCCAGGCCAUCUCUGCUGGCUGUGCUGCACUAUACCUAUCAAGAUUGGAUCAGUUUGUGAUUCUAUGCAGUUUAUCAAAUGAAAUCAUCAUCUGAAAAAGGGCACAGAGAACAUCCAAAUUUCCUUUGGAGAUGUCAUAAGAUUAUUUGAGACCUAUAGAAGAAGCAAAUGCUGUCAUCAUAUGCCUCAGUUACCUCUUCCUUCCAAUCCUGCAAGCCACUUUUCCUAUAGGCUCAUCCCCUGAGUCUCCAUUUGGAAGAAGGACCCUGACCAUUCCUCCUUAUCCAGACUUUACCCCCACCACCUUUUCAAUUGUUGUCUUCUCACAUUGAAAUAUAAUGUCUGUCUAAAUAAAUCUGCAACAAUGAAAGCCUGAGG
RNAcentral lists this long non-coding RNA (597 nucleotides) under Monodelphis domestica (gray short-tailed opossum). RNAcentral describes it as "lncRNA (ENSMODG00000040857.1)". Lineage: Eukaryota; Metazoa; Chordata; Mammalia; Didelphimorphia; Didelphidae. The record is from RNAcentral.